GUGGAGGAGUGCACGUGCAGCAUCUUUGCUGCUCUCCAUUAAUCCAGUGAAAGAGAAGGACAAGCAUGCAUUCUUACAAUGAUUAUCUGAGACGAUUAAAUGAUUGACUGCGGCAAAGGGAGUCUGUUGCACAGACUGUUUUUGCUCUUCUCGCGCGAUCUGGGUGUAUCGGAGUAAGCACGAGUUUGGGUUGUAUCCAUUCGUCGUUGUCAGCAUCACGAAGUCGUGCUGCAUAACUCCAAGCUGGAAACAGUGUGAAGAGGAAGGGUGUGUGUGGUGGAGAAUCCACAAUGAAGCACCUGCCCAUCUCUAAAUGGCUUAGGCAGCUUGGAUUACCACAGUACUGCUCACUGUUUGAUGAGGAAUAUGAUGGAGUAGAGGACCUGUUGCACUUGACAGAAUUGGACUUGUUGCAGUUGGGUGUUCACAGUCAUCUCCAUCGCAUUCACAUUCUCUCAAGCAUCCAGGUUUUGCAGGAGAGAGAGAUCA
This is a long non-coding RNA of Silurus meridionalis, 489 nucleotides long. RefSeq lists it as uncharacterized. The transcript has 3 exons. Lineage: Eukaryota; Metazoa; Chordata; Actinopteri; Siluriformes; Siluridae. The record is from RefSeq and is a predicted model, not a curated record.